This is a long non-coding RNA of Myotis davidii, 2297 nucleotides long. RefSeq lists it as uncharacterized. Lineage: Eukaryota; Metazoa; Chordata; Mammalia; Chiroptera; Vespertilionidae. The transcript is spliced from 3 exons. The record is from RefSeq and is a predicted model, not a curated record.
CAAAGGGCUGCGUCCUGGCGCCGCGAGUCUGGUUGUCGCUGCCAUUCAGCGAGAGCCCGGUGGGGCGCCCACCCCAGCCGCAGAUUUGCAGCCCAGAACCCCCUUUUCCAGACCCCGCCAAGUCAGCCCGCUGCGCAGGGUCCCAAUUCAAGACGGAAAACUGCACCUGGAGAUCUAAACCCCAGUUCCGCACAGCUCAACCGAUCGAGCGCCUCCGCUUCCUCCCCUGUGAACUGGCCCCCCUGAUCCUACCUACUGGGUAAAACUAAAUCCAGCAAUCCCUCCGUUUAACCACAGGGCCUGCAGACCUGGCUCCCUGCGCACUGGCACCUCGGGCUAGACAAGGCCUGUGAGUGCAUGUGCAUUGUUCUCUCUCACCAAGAUGAAUGGGUAAAGCAGCUAUUGAGGGCACAGGCAGGAGAAAACUGGGUGGUGAGUCUCCCAGAGCUCCUAGGCCAGCAAAGAAGGGCAGGUGACCCUGACACUGUCAUUGUAGUUCAGGGAAGGAUGUCUCCAUGGAGCUGGAGGCACUGGGGAGGGUGGCAGACAUGGUUGGUUCCCUAGAUCCACUCUCCUUUUUCCCUUCCUAUCAGAACUGCAAUGCGUUCAAUUUAAACUACCGAUUUCCCAGACUCCUUUGCAAUGAGGGGUGUCCAUAUGACCCAACUCUGGCCAAGGAGAUGGGAACAGAAUUGUCCUGAGUGAGAAUUCUAAGAAAGACACAGUAGUAUGUACCUUUUGCCCUUGACUUUUUUUCUUCCUGCUCCCCCCCCUCCCCCUCCUCCUCCUCCUCCUUCUCCUCUUAUUUCUCGGAAGGAUGGAUGUGAUGCCUGGAGGGGAAGCAGCCAUCUUGCAACCAGGAAGAAAGAAGUCUCCUACUAAGGAGGUCGGAUGGGCGGCCAUCAACAUCUGAAUGACUUCAUUGUGGAGUUCUGGCUUCAUGAGAAAAUUCAGCUCCUAUUACAUACAUGUGCAGUAGUUCAUUAUCUGUUCCAUGCAGUUAGCAUGGCCCUACCUGAUAUGAGUGAGGGCCCAGCUGGGAGGACAGUGUUUCUUCCUGAGAAAGCCCCUCCCCCGGAAGACCUCCCUGCCAGGCACAGCCCCACGGGCACAGGCUGGCACAGCCAGCAUGUCGAGGACACACCCUCCACCAGCUCUCCUCUUGGAGUCGGUCCUGCAUGGCCCCUUCCCUUCGCUACCUUGAUGCCAAGGCCUUAACUGGGGGGAAGGGAAGAAAGCAGAGGCCGCCAUAGUGGGAAAGUCGGAAAUAAAAUCUCGCCCUGCCUUCCCCCCAGGAAAAAAAACAAGCCGUGACAAAGCCUGGAUGAGGUUUGUUUUGAAGUGAAAAAUCCAUGCCAGUUCCAUUAGUUUGGAAAACCAGUUGCUGCCUGAAUAACUGAAACCUGUCCUAUAAGCGUGAACUGUCACCUCAAGGUGCUGGCCUCUAAUUGUGAGCGCACGUUGGCCAGAGCUGCUGGUUCUCCAGACUGGAGCACGUGACGCCUCCUCCCCCAGCCCUUCCACUCUGACAAUAUGCCACCACUGCCGCUCCCAGUGAUGCCCCUGGGAGAAAGCCCAGCGAUGCUGCCCCUCGGAGAUAAUGGCGUUGGAAAUGCAAUGCUAAUGGCUCCCCAGACAAGACCAGAAUAGCCUCGUGCUCUGCCUUCCUGGCGCACAGAGGCCACAGCCUGUGAGCACCGCAGGCGCCUCACGCCCCGCCCUCCCCAAGUGCCCGGAGCCAGCUUCAUGGCGAGAGCCACCUGUUCAUCAUCAUAGAGUUUUGUCCAACCUGCUGGAUGGGCUCAGAACAGAGGCGCAGCGCAGUGUUUGAGCCGGGAGAACCUGUGGCCCAGCAGGCACCUCCAUUCAGACUAUAAACUCGCUUUGCAAGUUGAUCAUCACCCACGAACUGGGCCAUGUUUGCCAUGCAGUUAAGAUGGAUUUGAAUCCACUUAUUUUCUUUUGCACCCCAGCUCCCACCCCCACCCAAAGCCUGAGCUGGUGUUUAAGAAAACAAUAAAAAUGACGUGGGCUGGUGGACUGUUGACCUUCUUUAUAUGGAAGUCACGUGAAGGUUGCAGACCAACUGCCAGGGGCAAGAGGAACGUCCCUGCACUUCUCCCAGGAGGCCUGGCAUCCCGGGGCUGCGCCUGAACUGCCUUGGGAAGGGGGCUCAAUUCUGAUGACAGUGGGCAUUGAAGAGGGAUGCUGGGCAGGUCUGCAGAUCACUGUGGCCAUACAGGCACUGCCUCUCUCAUCUGUUUUGUUUUAAAUGUGUUUUUGUUUAUUUCAGAGAG